CCUACGGGUGGCAGCAGUGAGGAAUAUUGGUCAAUGGACGAGAGUCUGAACCAGCCAAGUAGCGUGAAGGAUGACUGCCCUAUGGGUUGUAAACUUCUUUUAUGUGGGAAUAAAAUGUUCCACGUGUGGGAGUUUGUAUUUACCAUAUGAAUAAGGAUCGGCUAACUCCGUGCCAGCAGCCGCGGUAAUACGGAAGGUCCGAGCGUUAUCCGGAUUUAUUGGGUUUAAAGGGAGCGUAGGUUGAUUGUUAAGUCAGUUGUGAAAUUUUGCGGCUCAACCGUAAAAUUGCAGUUGAAACUGGAAGUCUUGAGUACAGUAGAGGUGGGCGGAAUUCGUGGUGUAGCGGUGAAAUGCUUAGAUAUCACGAAGAACCCCGAUUGCGAAGGCAGUUCACUGGACUGCAACUGACACUGAGGCUCGAAAGUGUGGGUAUCAAACAGGAUUAGAUACCCGUGUAGUC
This 460-nucleotide ribosomal RNA is filed under the name uncultured bacterium. Its description in RNAcentral is "partial 16S ribosomal RNA". It matches the Rfam family "Bacterial small subunit ribosomal RNA", at positions 338 to 795 of the family's 1533-position model. The record is from RNAcentral.